UACGAAGGGGGCUAGCGUUGCUCGGAAUUACUGGGCGUAAAGCGCAUGUAGGCGGAUAUUUAAGUCAGGGGUGAAAUCCCGCAGCUCAACUGCGGAACUGCCUUUGAUACUGGGUAUCUUGAGUAUGGAAGAGGUGAGUGGAAUUCCGAGUGUAGAGGUGAAAUUCGUAGAUAUUCGGAGGAACACCAGUGGCGAAGGCGGCUCACUGGUCCAUUACUGACGCUGAGGUGCGAAAGCGUGGGGAGCAAACAGG
RNAcentral lists this ribosomal RNA (253 nucleotides) under uncultured bacterium. RNAcentral's name for it is "partial 16S ribosomal RNA". It matches the Rfam family "Bacterial small subunit ribosomal RNA", at positions 524 to 776 of the family's 1533-position model. The record is from RNAcentral.